GACGAACGCUAGCGGCGCGCCUAACACAUGCCAGUCGAACGAGCGAGAGGGAGCUUGCUUUCUCGAGCGAGUGGCGAACGGGUGAGUAACGCGUGAGGAACCUGCCUCAAAGAGGGGGACAACAGUUGGAAACGACUGCUAAUACCGCAUAAGCCCACGGUGCCGCAUGGCACAGAGGGAAAAGGAGCAAUCCGCUUUGAGAUGGCCUCGCGUCCGAUUAGCUAGUUGGUGAGGUAAUGGCCCACCAAGGCGACGAUCGGUAGCCGGACUGAGAGGUUGAACGGCCACAUUGGGACUGAGACACGGCCCAGACUCCUACGGGAGGCAGCAGUGGGGAAUAUUGCACAAUGGGGGAAACCCUGAUGCAGCGACGCCGCGUGGAGGAAGAAGGUCUUCGGAUUGUAAACUCCUGUUGUUGGGGAAGAUAAUGACGGUACCCAACAAGGAAGUGACGGCUAACUACGUG
This 466-nucleotide ribosomal RNA is filed under the name uncultured bacterium. RNAcentral describes it as "partial 16S ribosomal RNA". It matches the Rfam family "Bacterial small subunit ribosomal RNA", at positions 28 to 507 of the family's 1533-position model. The record is from RNAcentral.